GUUUAUUGAAUAUAAAGAAAAGACGAACAGCUCAGUAACUCUUAUUUGAUUUGAUGUAUUAGGAUUCUAACUAUGUUAAAUUAUAGGUAACAAUAAUACAAUAAGAAUAAGAUCUAUCAGUUAGUUGUUAAGGUAAUGGCUUAACAAGACUAUGACGGAUAACGGUAUUACUUUGUAAUAUUCCGGAGAAGGAGCCUGAGAGAUUGCUACUAAGUCUAAGGAUUGCAGCAGGGGCGAAACUUGACCUAUGAUAUUAUAUUGAGGCAGUUAUGAGUAGUAUUUUAUAAUUAUUGUAGUAUUGUAAGUACAUAUUACAAGAUAAAUCGGAGGGCAAAUCGAGUGCCAGCAGCCGCGGUAAUACUUGUUCCGAUAGUGUGUAUGAUGAUUGAUGCAGUUAAAAAGUCUGUAGUUUAUUUAUAAUAAGCAUUGUAAGGUAUACUGUAUGGUUAGGAGAGAGAUGAAAUGUGAUAACCCUAACUGGAUGAACAGAAGCGAAAGCUGUAUACUUAAAUGUAUUAUUAGAACAAGGACGUAAGCUAGAGGAUCGAAGAUGAUUAGAUACCAUUGUAGUUCUAGCAGUAAACUAUGUUGAAUCAUAGAUAUAUUUUGAUAUAUAUUUAUGUAGAGAAAUUAAGAUUAUAUUGACUCUGGGGAUAGUAUGAUCGCAAGAUUGAAAAUUAAAGAAAUUGACGGAAGAAUACCACAAGGAGUGGAUUGUGCGGCUUAAUUUGACUCAACGCGGGGUAAUUUACCAGGUAUAACAUGAUAUAAUAUUUUAUCAUGAUAGUGGUGCAUGGCCGUUUCCAAUGGAUGCUGUGAAGUAAUGAUUAAUUUCAACAAGAUGUGAGACCCUCAUUUAGACAGAUGUAGUGAUACAUAUGAAGGAGAGGAUUAAAACAGGUCCGUUAUGCCCUAAGAUAAUCUGGGUUGCACGCGCAAUACAAUAAUAUUUGAUAUUAUAAGGGAUAAUAUAAUGUAAGAUAUAUUUGAACAUGGAAUUGCUAGUAAAUUUUAUUUAAUAAGUAGAAUUGAAUGAGUCCCUGUUCUUUGUACACACCGCCCGUCGCUAUCUAAGAUGGUAUUAUCUAUGAA
RNAcentral lists this ribosomal RNA (1092 nucleotides) under Nosema sp. Phop. RNAcentral describes it as "SSU rRNA". It matches the Rfam family "Microsporidia small subunit ribosomal RNA", at positions 56 to 1227 of the family's 1311-position model. The record is from RNAcentral. Lineage: Eukaryota; Fungi; Microsporidia; Nosematidae.